RNAcentral lists this ribosomal RNA (497 nucleotides) under uncultured bacterium. RNAcentral describes it as "partial 16S ribosomal RNA". It matches the Rfam family "Bacterial small subunit ribosomal RNA", at positions 28 to 507 of the family's 1533-position model. The record is from RNAcentral.
GAUGAACGCUGGCGGCGUGCCUAAUACAUGCAAGUCGAGCGAACGGACGAGAAGCUUGCUUCUCUGAUGUUAGCGGCGGACGGGUGAGUAACACGUGGAUAACCUACCUAUAAGACUGGGAUAACUUCGGGAAACCGGAGCUAAUACCGGAUAAUAUUAUGAACCGCAUGGUUCAAAAGUGAAAGACGGUCUUGCUGUCACUUAUAGAUGGAUCCGCGCUGCAUUAGCUAGUUGGUAAGGUAACGGCUUACCAAGGCAACGAUGCAUAGCCGACCUGAGAGGGUGAUCGGCCACACUGGAACUGAGACACGGUCCAGACUCCUACGGGAGGCAGCAGUAGGGAAUCUUCCGCAAUGGGCGAAAGCCUGACGGAGCAACGCCGCGUGAGUGAUGAAGGUCUUCGGAUCGUAAAACUCUGUUAUUAGGGAAGAACAUAUGUGUAAGUAACUGUGCACAUCUUGACGGUACCUAAUCAGAAAACCACGGCUAACUACGUG